Molecule: ribosomal RNA, 429 nt
Filed under: Bacillota bacterium
Lineage: Bacteria; Bacillati; Bacillota
Description: Firmicutes bacterium partial 16S ribosomal RNA
Rfam family: Bacterial small subunit ribosomal RNA
Source: RNAcentral
UGGGGAAUUUUGGACAAUGGGGGCAACCCUGAUCCAGCAAUGCCGCGUGUGUGAAGAAGGCCUUCGGGUUGUAAAGCACUUUUGUCCGGGAAGAAAUCGCACCUGAUAAUACCGGGUGUGGAUGACGGUACCGGAAGAAUAAGGACCGGCUAACUACGUGCCAGCAGCCGCGGUAAUACGUAGGGUCCAAGCGUUAAUCGGAAUUACUGGGCGUAAAGCGUGCGCAGGCGGUUGUGCAAGACCGAUGUGAAAUCCCCGGGCUUAACCUGGGAAUUGCAUUGGUGACUGGACGGCUAGAGGGUGUCAGAGGGGGGUAGAAUUCCACGUGUAGCAGUGAAAUGCGUAGAGAUGUGGAGGAAUACCGAUGGCGAAGGCAGCCCCCUGGGAUAACACUGACGCUCAUGCACGAAAGCGUGGGGAGCAAACAGG